This 250-nucleotide ribosomal RNA is filed under the name uncultured bacterium. RNAcentral's name for it is "partial 16S ribosomal RNA". It matches the Rfam family "Bacterial small subunit ribosomal RNA", at positions 524 to 773 of the family's 1533-position model. The record is from RNAcentral.
GACGAACUGUCCUAACGUUGUUCGGAAUCACUGGGCUUAAAGGGCGCGUAGGCGGUCCGACAAGUCAGGGGUGAAAUCCUGCAGCUUAACUGCAGAAGUGCCUUUGAUACUGUCGGUCUCGAGGGAGAUAGGGGUGUGCGGAACUUCCAGUGGAGCGGUGAAAUGCGUUGAUAUUGGAAGGAACGCCGGAGGCGAAAGCGGCGCACUGGAUCUCUUCUGACGCUGAGGCGCGAAAGCUAGGGGAGCAAAC